CCUUGCCAGCCCGCUCAAGAAACUCAAAUGAAUUGACGGGGGCCCGCACAAGCGGAGGAGCAUGUGGUUUAAUUCGAUGAUACGCGAGGAACCUUACCUGGGCUCGAACGUAAGAUGACUGUAGGUGAAAGCUUACAUCUCUUCGGAGCAUUUUACGAGGUGCUGCAUGGUUGUCGUCAGCUCGUGCCGUGAGGUGUCGGGUUAAGUCCCAUAACGAGCGCAACCCCUACCUUUAGUUGCCAUCAGGUUAAGCUGGGGACUCUAAAGGAACUGCCUACGCAAGUAGUGAGGAAGGCGGGGAUGACGUCAAAUCAGCACGGCCCUUACGUCCAGGGCUACACACGUGCUACAAUGGCCGAUACAGAGGGCAGCUACCUGGUGACAGGAUGCAAAUCUCCAAAGUCGGUCUCAGUUCGGAUCGGAGUCUGCAACCCGACUCCGUGAAGUUGGAUUCGCUAGUAAUCGCGCAUCAGCCAUGGCGCGGUGAAUACGUUCCCGGGCCUU
RNAcentral lists this ribosomal RNA (504 nucleotides) under uncultured Sphingobacteriales bacterium. Its description in RNAcentral is "bacterial SSU rRNA". It matches the Rfam family "Bacterial small subunit ribosomal RNA", at positions 903 to 1382 of the family's 1533-position model. Lineage: Bacteria; Pseudomonadati; Bacteroidota; Sphingobacteriia; Sphingobacteriales. The record is from RNAcentral.